RNAcentral lists this ribosomal RNA (539 nucleotides) under uncultured archaeon. RNAcentral's name for it is "bacterial SSU rRNA". It matches the Rfam family "Archaeal small subunit ribosomal RNA", at positions 460 to 997 of the family's 1478-position model. The record is from RNAcentral.
AGCCGCCGCGGGAACACCGGCGGCCCGAGUGGUGAUCGUGAUUAUUGGGUCUAAAGGGUCCGUAGCCGGUUUGGUCAGUCCUCCGGGAAAUCUGAUAGCUCAACUAUUAGGCUUUCGGGGGAUACUGCCAGACUUGGAACCGGGAGAGGUAAGAGGUACUACAGGGGUAGGAGUGAAAUCUUGUAAUCCCUGUGGGACCACCUGUGGCGAAGGCGUCUUACCAGAACGGGUUCGACGGUGAGGGACGAAAGCUGGGGGCACGAACCGGAUUAGAUACCCGGGUAGUCCCAGCCGUAAACGAUGCUCGCUAGGUGUCAGGCAUGGCGCGACCGUGUCUGGUGCCGCAGGGAAGCCGUGAAGCGAGCCACCUGGGAAGUACGGCCGCAAGGCUGAAACUUAAAGGAAUUGGCGGGGGAGCACAACAACGGGUGGAGCCCUGCGGUUUAAUUGGACUCAACGCCGGACAACUCACCGGGGGCGACAGCAAUAUGUAGGCCAAGCUGAAGACUUUGCCUGAAUCGCUGAGAGGAGGUGCAUGG